GUGAACCCAGGCGUGUUGAAGGGAGAAGGCUCACCGUUUGGCAGGGCCUGUCACGUGGUAGGUGUGUCUGUGCCCACAUGGGGGCUGCCCGAGGAGACUCAGCCGGCCUUCCCGAGAACCCUGAUGGGGAGGGCCAGGCACAGAGCAGCCAUUGUUCACUGUCUUCUCAUUCACUGUUGAAAACCCGCUGCACUUGGAAACCCAUUAACGGAACGUUGGAUGAGGAAUGGGAGCACCUAGGUGGGAAGUCUUCCCAGGAAUGCAGGCGUGUGCCCGGUGGGGUGCUUGGGGCGUCUGUCUUCCCACCCCACGGUGGACGAGACUUGGCCAGCAGGUCAGCACUCGGGAUGCAUCUUCCUUUCCAGAUCUUGGCCUAGCUGCUGCGUGUGACGGAGCUGGUGGUGAAGAUCUCUUCCAACGCCUGGUGUUCCAGGGGAAAAAAAUUCUGUUUUUCUCAUUUGUUACGGUGAACAUUUUUUCUUUAAGAAGUAGCAGGCUUUCCAGUCAUUUGUGGUUCUGCAAGUUGGAAUGGGAUUAUCCCUGUGAUUGGAAACGUGAUGUGAAGCAGGACCCUGCCCUGGACAGACCUGUGGAGUGAGUGAGCCGGGAGCCGUCCUUCUCCCGAGGACUCACGGCCUUUCCCUUCUUCCCCACCUCACUCAAGCCUGAGCUCAGCAAGUUCUUUGACCUUUGAAGUGAACUCAGAUGACUUUAUCUGUAAGUCGUCUUCCUGAAAAUGGCAUAACUUGAGAUUGCUCUCCCUCUGAGAGCGUUGGGAAUCAAAGCCUGCCCUUCCUCUUGGUGUCGAAGUCUGUCUGUACCUAAAGGCGUUCAGGGCCUGGGUCUGAGGAGGGUGGUACCCAGAGUCCUUAGAGUCAACCAGCUUGGAAACCGCUGCUCACCAGGAAGUGGCGGCCGCUCUGGCCUGGGGCGGCUGGCAUGAUGGAAAACCUUUGCACCCGAAGGUUUCUGAAACAACUUUCAAAGACUUCCAGAGAGGAGCACAUUUGUUUUUUCCACGGAUAGACUAAAAAGGAAACCAUGCUCUAUGUCCAGCGCUGUCCUCUUGGAACCGUAUCGCACCGAGUCCAGUUUAGCCAGCGUCUGUGGAGGAAGAGCCGAGCCGACCUGCGCGGGCUGUUUGUGUUCUGAGGUGCAUAGUGGGCGCGGACCUGAGGGGUGGAGGACAGCAAGCAGAAGCAAGGGAAAGGCCAGCUGGAGGGCGGGGCGGCUUUUCUUUUCCCCUGGAGCUCGAAGGGGGAGGGUGUUGGUGGCAUUCCCCAAUCCUCCAGCUGUUUCAUGCAGAACUCUGGGGCGAAUGCUGCUCUAGACCACGAGGGACAAUUUCCCUUUCACGUCGAUGUAUAUGUGCUUGUUGUUCAUUGACGGAAAAGUGUGAGCGUGGAGGCAGGGGGAUUCCUGUCUGGAAGUCUCCAUCCCUUCUGCAGGGAGUCUCUGUUUUCCCAGAGUGUCGGGGGUGUUGAGGUUUUCCUCCAGCCUCUCGCUGCUGGGAAGUGGGAUGCUCUGUCUGCAGGUGAGGGAGAGAGCCCUGUACGGGACAUUCCAACUGUGCCAGGCAGGUUUUUAACGUGACGAGAUUAAAACACAAACAAAACACUCACUUUGAGAUCAUCGUGGAUUCAUACAGUGUUGGAAGCGAUAACACCCGGAGAUUCUGAGAAGUUGCUUUUCACCCAGUUUCCGCCCAGUGGAAACGUUGCACAAUGAUACCACAGUGCCGCAGUCGGACAGUGAACCUUGUGCAUGUUCUGUAGGUUUGACAUGUUCCUGUGUGAGUGUUAGGGUCUGUGCAGUUCUAUCACAUAAAAAGUCUUGUGAUGACCACCGCAAGUCAAACCACAGAAUAGUCACAUCACAGAACCCCAAGGGGCAGCCUCUUAGAACUUAGCUGACUCUCCCGCUCUCUCCCACGCCAAACCCCAGGCAAUCACGACUCCUCCACCUGUAAUUUUGUCAUUUUAAGCGCUCUCUGUAAAUGGAAUCACAUGGUAUGUUUCAUUUUGAGAUUGGGUUUUUAACAGGCUGGCCACUUUUAAUCCAUUGUUGCCAAUCUUUGCAGCAAUCCUCCACGUUAGGAUCAUGAAUUCUCUUCCAUCAGCAAGAAGUGCCCCCUCUGGCGGGCACAGGGGCAUGCCCAAGACCACCCUGCUGGUCAGGUAGUCAGGAGGGAGCGUAGGUGCACCUGACCAAGGCCUUGACUCCUUUCAUAGGACCUUACCUUCCUCCUGGGUCCAGGUACCUGUUCUCUUUUCCCCUCCCUCUGCAUUUGAGGCAAAGUUGAAGUUGUUUUCCUACAGUCUGAGCCUUGGUGUGUGUGGUGCUGGGCAUUGAGCCCAGGGACUUGAGCCUACCAGGCAGGUGCUCUGAGCUGCGGUCCCAUCCUAACUUUUUUUUUUUAAAUGUGAGGCAAGCACUCUACCAACCGAGCUAUGCCCCCCAGCCCUCUAACGUUUCAGACAGAUCGGAUCACAUUAUUUUAGACGAUGGGUGUCUUUUGGUACAGCUCUGUUUGGGGCCUGUUGCUCUUUUCUGUGCUGACCUUCAGCACUGGACACUCCGGCACGUGUGAUGAGGGUCGUUGUUGUGUGGGAUGAAGAGAGACCUGCUCACUGUCUCUUGGGUCCAUAUGUGAGCAUUGUUGGCUUGCAGCACAUCUGGCUGAGUGCCUAGCCUGGUAGGUGAGGUUACUGUGGUGCCAACAUACUCCAGAGCCGCUGAGGCACAACCCCACUGCAAACAAGGAGCCACCAGCACACCGAGGGAUGGAGGGAAGGCAAAGGAUGCAAAUCUAUGAACCACAGUAGCUCCAAUACUAGAAAACAAGGCUUUUAAAUCUCUGUACAAAUAAUGAAACUGGGGUUAUGGCUCAGCGGAAGAGAGCUUGCGAGACACCAGGGGCUGGGUUCAAUCCUCAGCACCACAUAAAAAUAAAUGAAUAAAAUAAAGGUUUAAAAAAAUAAAAUAAAAUCUCUGUACAGGAUGCAGUUUUUAACAAGACUGAGAAACAGCAAACUGUGGGUUUCUUGGCUCUGAAUCCCCAGUCAUGCCCAUUUUUCAGCAUCUUUGAGCUGGCCCUUCCCUCUGCCUGGAGAAUUCUUCCAAGAUCUCCGUGCGGCUCUGCUCGGCCCCUUGUCUUCCUAUGGGUCUCUGCACAAUAUUACCUCCAACCUGUGGCCUUUCCUGAUAUUAAAAACCGCAGCCCCCCACUUAAUUCCUCCCCAUCGCUGUUUGAUCUCAUUGAACGCACCCUUCUUCUCCUCCUGCCCCAGCCUACCCAGGUUUGUUCCUGCUGGAAUGCAGGCCUCGGAUGGGCGGUGGGCGCAGCCUGUUUUGUUCACUGGGUAUCCUCAGGCAUGGACGAGAAUGCAACAGAUAUUAUUUGAGUAAAUGAGUGUUUUUAAGAGGAAAGUGGGCAACCGCCCGGUUAUAGGACACAAGAGAAUAAUCAGGCCUGCACACGUAAGCAGCUGGUGCACACUCAUUUAAAAAGGUUGAGUCAGUUGAGUCCGGAUGCGCUCUUUUCUUGCCUGCUUGGAACAUGUCUCUGGUAGUGACUUUUCCGAUGGAAAAUGAUUGACUUUGGGGAGCUCUUUGAGGUGUGUAGGAAAUUAACCAGCAGAUCUAGGUAAUUGAACCUUGCAAACUAUCCUAGAAAUGUUUAUGCUUCUGCCAAAUUGAAGCAUGAGCUCAGUGUUUGCAUAACCACCUGUGUAAUUACCCGCGUUAGCACUGCAGCAUGUAUUUGCUGAGCUACACUCUUCAAUUUUCAAUAAAAGUAUUUUCACAUGUUGG
Molecule: long non-coding RNA, 3813 nt
Filed under: Ictidomys tridecemlineatus (thirteen-lined ground squirrel)
Lineage: Eukaryota; Metazoa; Chordata; Mammalia; Rodentia; Sciuridae
Description: lncRNA (ENSSTOG00000033932.1)
Source: RNAcentral